CGCUAGCGGCAGGCUUAACACAUGCAAGUCGAGGGGUAACAGGGUGCUUGCACCGCUGACGACCGGCGCACGGGUGCGUAACGCGUAUAGAACCUACCUUUUACAGGAGAAUACCCCAGAGAAAUUUGGAAUAAUGCUCCAUAGUAUUAUUGAAUGGCAUCAUUUGAUAAUUAAACAUUUAUGGGUAAAAGAUGGCUAUGCGUUCUAUUAGCUAGAUGGUAAGGUAACGGCUUACCAUGGCAACGAUCGAUAGGGGUCCUGAGAGGGAGAUCCCCCACACUGGUACUGAGACACGGACCAGACUCCUACGGGAGGCAGCAGUGAGGAAUAUUGGACAAUGGAGGCAACUCUGAUCCAGCCAUGCCGCGUGCAGGAAGACGGUCCUAUGGAUUGUAAACUGCUUUUAUACAGGAAGAAACACUCCCUCGUGAGGGAGCUUGACGGUACUGUAUGAAUAAGCACCCGGCUAACUCCCGUGCCAGCAGCCCGCGGUAAUACGGAGGGUGCAAGCGUUAUCCGGAAUCAUUGGGUUUAAAGGGUCCGUAGGCGGGCUAAUAAGUCAGGGGUGAAAUCCAACAGCUUAACUGUUGAAUUGCCUUUGAUACUGUUAGUCUUGAGUUAUAUGGAAGUAGAUAGAAUGUGUAGUGUAGCGGUGAAAUGCUUAGAGAUUACACAG
RNAcentral lists this ribosomal RNA (676 nucleotides) under Lutibacter sp. RNAcentral's name for it is "bacterial SSU rRNA". It matches the Rfam family "Bacterial small subunit ribosomal RNA", at positions 34 to 704 of the family's 1533-position model. The record is from RNAcentral. Lineage: Bacteria; Pseudomonadati; Bacteroidota; Flavobacteriia; Flavobacteriales; Flavobacteriaceae.